RNAcentral lists this ribosomal RNA (468 nucleotides) under uncultured bacterium. RNAcentral describes it as "partial 16S ribosomal RNA". It matches the Rfam family "Bacterial small subunit ribosomal RNA", at positions 28 to 507 of the family's 1533-position model. The record is from RNAcentral.
GACGAACGCUGGCGGCGUGCUUAACACAUGCAAGUCGAACGGAAAGGCCCUGCUUUUGUGGGGUGCUCGAGUGGCGAACGGGUGAGUAACACGUGAGUAACCUGCCCUUGACUUUGGGAUAACUUCAGGAAACUGGGGCUAAUACCGGAUAGGAGCUCCUGCUGCAUGGGGGGGGUUGGAAAGUUUCGGCGGGUGGGGAUGGACUCGCGGCUUAUCAGCUUGUUGGUGGAGUAGUGGCUUACCAAGGCUUUGGCGGGUAGCCGGCCUGGGAGGGGGACCGGCCUCAUUGGGACUGAGGUACGGCCCAGACUCCAACGGUAGGCAGUGGUGGGAAACAUGGCACAAUGGGCGGAAGCCUGAUGCAGCGGCGUCGCGUGCGUGAUGACGGCCUUCGGGUUGUAAACCGCUUUCGCCUGUGACGAAGCGUGAGUGACGGUAAUGGGUAAAGAAGCACCGGCUAACUACGUG